RNAcentral lists this ribosomal RNA (513 nucleotides) under uncultured bacterium. RNAcentral's name for it is "partial 16S ribosomal RNA". It matches the Rfam family "Bacterial small subunit ribosomal RNA", at positions 28 to 523 of the family's 1533-position model. The record is from RNAcentral.
GAUGAACGCUGGCGGCGUGCCUAAUACAUGCAAGUCGAGCGAACAGACGAGGAGCUUGCUCCUCUGACGUUAGCGGUGGACGGGUGAGUAACACGUGGAUAACCUACCUAUAAGACUGGGAUAACUUCGGGAAACCGGAGCUAAUACCGGAUAACAUGUUGAACCGCAUGGUUCAACAGUGAAAGACGGUCUUGCUGUCACUUAUAGAUGGAUCCGCGCCGCAUUAGCUAGUUGGUAAGGUAACGGCUUACCAAGGCAACGAUGCGUAGCCGACAUGAGAGGGUGAUCGGCCACACUGGAACUGAGACACGGUCCAGACUCCUACGGGAGGCAGCAGUAGGGAAUCUUCCGCAAUGGGCGAAAGCCUGACGGAGCAACGCCGCGUGAGUGAAGAAGGUCUUCGGAUCGUAAAACUCAGUUAUUAGGGAAGAACAAAUGUGUAAGUAACUAUGCACGUCUUGACGGUACCUAAUCAGAAAGCCACGGCUAACUACGUGCCAGCAGCCGCCGUAA